AACGAACGCUGGCGGCAGGCCUAACACAUGCAAGUCGAGCGGACCUUUCGGGGUCUGCGGCGGACGGGUGAGUAACGCGUGGGAAUAUGCCCUUCUCUACGGAAUAGUCCUGGGAAACUGGGGGUAAUACCGUAUACGCCCUUUGGGGGAAAGAUUUAUCGGGGAAGGAUUAGCCCGCGUUGGAUUAGGUAGUUGGUGGGGUAAUGGCCUACCAAGCCGACGAUCCAUAGCUGGUUUGAGAGGAUGAUCAGCCACACUGGGACUGAGACACGGCCCAGACUCCUACGGGAGGCAGCAGUGGGGAAUCUUAGACAAUGGGGGCAACCCUGAUCUAGCCAUGCCGCGUGAGUGAUGAAGGCCUUAGGGUUGUAAAGCUCUUUCAGCUGGGAAGAUAAUGACGGUACCAGCAGAAGAAGCCCCGGCUAACUCCGU
RNAcentral lists this ribosomal RNA (432 nucleotides) under uncultured bacterium. RNAcentral's name for it is "partial 16S ribosomal RNA". It matches the Rfam family "Bacterial small subunit ribosomal RNA", at positions 29 to 506 of the family's 1533-position model. The record is from RNAcentral.